GAUGAAGAACGUAGCGAAAUGCGAUAAGUAAUGUGAAUUGCAGAAUUCAGUGAAUCAUCGAAUCUUUGAACGCACAUUGCGCCCCUUGGUAUUCCGAGGGGCAUGCCUGUUCGAGCGUCAUUAUAACCCCUCAAGCUCAGCUUGGUGUUGGGGCCUGCUGCACUGGCAGCCCUUAAAAUCAGUGGCGGCGCCAUCUGGCUCUAAGCGUAGUAAUUCUUCUCGCUAUGGAGUCCUGGUGGAUGCUUGCCAUCAACCCCCAAUUUUUCUAUGGUUGACCUCGGAUCAGGUAGGGAUACCCGCUGAACUUAAGCAUAUCAAUAAGCAGAGGA
This 329-nucleotide unclassified non-coding RNA is filed under the name soil metagenome. RNAcentral's name for it is "partial contains 5.8S ribosomal RNA, internal transcribed spacer 2, and large subunit ribosomal RNA". The stretch from base 1 to 120 matches the Rfam family "5.8S ribosomal RNA", at positions 35 to 154 of the family's 154-position model. The record is from RNAcentral.